Molecule: non-coding RNA, 95 nt
Organism: Paenibacillus sp. MAEPY2
Lineage: Bacteria; Bacillati; Bacillota; Bacilli; Caryophanales; Paenibacillaceae
Source: Rfam
ACAACAAAAAGAAGCCCUCUUUCGAGAGCUUCUUUUUCAUGGGAGAGGAGAAACCGGACGAAGAGCUUAUGGGGAAACGUAAGUCUUCUCCGCGG